RNAcentral lists this ribosomal RNA (428 nucleotides) under Acinetobacter towneri. RNAcentral's name for it is "bacterial SSU rRNA". It matches the Rfam family "Bacterial small subunit ribosomal RNA", at positions 353 to 772 of the family's 1533-position model. Lineage: Bacteria; Pseudomonadati; Pseudomonadota; Gammaproteobacteria; Moraxellales; Moraxellaceae. The record is from RNAcentral.
AGUGGGGAAUAUUGGAUAAUGGGGGGAACCCUGAUCCAGCCAUGCCGCGUGUGUGAAGAAGGCCUUUUGGUUGUAAAGCACUUUAAGUGGGGAGGAGGCUCUCUUGGUUAAUACCUAAGAAGAGUGGACGUUACCCACAGAAUAAGCACCGGCUAACUCUGUGCCAGCAGCCGCGGUAAUACAGAGGGUGCGAGCGUUAAUCGGAUUUACUGGGCGUAAAGCGCGCGUAGGUGGUUAAUUAAGUCAAAUGUGAAAUCCCCGAGCUUAACUUGGGAAUUGCAUUUGAUACUGGUUAGCUAGAGUAUGGGAGAGGAUGGUAGAAUUCCAGGUGUAGCGGUGAAAUGCGUAGAGAUCUGGAGGAAUACCGAUGGCGAAGGCAGCCAUCUGGCCUAAUACUGACACUGAGGUGCGAAAGCAUGGGGAGCAAA